ACCCCUCUACUUUCCUUUUAUGUAGCCCUGUUGCAAAAGAGAUAAGAAGCGUGACAUAUGAUGGUAAUUGCCCAUUUCUAGGGGCUCACCCACAUCUACUGAUAAUUCGAGGUUCACCUGACUUAGCCUUGCUCUAAUUGCAUCUUGAAGCAGCCUCACAGUCCUGGCAAUAUGCAGCUGAUUAUGUUACAAAUUCAGUUUUAAAGGGGUUUAAUUACACGGGAAGUAACUAGUGAAGGUGACAAAGAAAUGAUUUUAAUAUGUAUAGCCAGUGGGUUUUGGGUUGGCCUAGUGUUGUGAAUUUAUUUUCAGGGCCAUUAAAUACAUGGCAAGUUUAUUCUAACCCAUGGGAUGCUACAGAAGACAACUUCCUCAAAAGAAGACUAACGUGACUUUAAGGAUUAAUCUUGGCAUUCUUAUGAUGCAUUUUGCUUUUUAAUCCCCUUAAUUUUAAACACACCAAAAUACCACUCAUUUGGGCUGUAUUAAUAUGAAAGCCCAAUUCCUGGUGGUCAGCAUGCUAUGGAUUGGCUUAACAAAUUCCUAUAAACAAAUUUAAUGAAUACAUUGAAAUAAAUUUCCUAUAGCUGUAGAAAAAAAUAUGUUAAGCCAAUCCAUAGCACACCCACAGCAGUUCUUCAAGGAUUGUUUAAAAGAAUAAACUGGGCACUUAAGCGGGCUGUGCCAUGUGACCUCGGGCACUGCCAACAGUGGGUGAGCUCUGGGUGUGCGGGCGGCCUGGUGCGGUGCUCUGCUGUGUCAACGUGUUAUGAUGCUGUCCCAAACCAACCUGGCUACUGGAAUCCCCAGGAGUAAAGUGAAAUAUUCAAGGCUCUCCAGCACAGAGGAUGGCUACAUUGACCUUCAGUCUAAGAAAACUCCUCCUAAGAUCCCUUAUAAGGCCAUCGCACUUGCCACUGUGCUGUUUUUGAUUGGCGCCUUUCUCAUUAUUAUAGGCUCCCUCCAGCUGUCAGGCCACAUCAGCAAAGAGGGGGCAGACCAGCCGUUCCAGUCCUGAUCCUUGGCAUUCUGGUGUUCCUACCCGGAUUUUACCACCUGCACAUCACUUACUACGCAUCCAAAGGCUACCGUGGUUACUCCUAUGAUGACAUUCCAGACUUUGAUGACUAGCACCCACCUAAUAGCUGAGGAGAACAGUCACAGUGGAACUGUCCCAGCUUUAAGAUACCUAGCAGAAACUAUAGCUAAGGAUUAAGGAAUUCUGCAGCUUGCAGAUGUUUAAGAAAAUAAUGGCCAGAUUUUACGGGUCCUUCCCAAAGAUGUUAACUGAACCUGCAGUAGCUAAUUAGGACAUGCUCUGUUUUUCAUCCCUUGGCCCUGGCAAGAGCUCCUGACAAGUUUUUCCACAGGAAUAUGUAUCAUGGAAGAAUAGAGGUUAUUCUGUAAUGGAAAAGUGUUGCCUGCCAUCACCCUCUGUAGAGCUGAGCAUUUCUUUUAAAUAGUCUUCAUUGCCAAUUUGUUCUUGUAGCAAAUGGAAGAAUGUAGUAUGGCUAAUUUCUUAUUACUAAGUAAUUUAUUUAAAAAAUAUCUGAGUAUAUUAUCCUCUACACUUAUCCCUACCUUCAUGUUCCAGUGGAAGGCUUUAGUAAAAUCAAAGAUCAGUGA
RNA transcript from Cercocebus atys (sooty mangabey), 1626 nucleotides. It is a transcript of the gene named transmembrane protein 230 pseudogene, with no coding region annotated. The record is from RefSeq and is a predicted model, not a curated record. Lineage: Eukaryota; Metazoa; Chordata; Mammalia; Primates; Cercopithecidae. The transcript has a single exon.